CACCGAGAAUGGCAUGCCUGCAGUAAAGAUUGCUAAUCCUUCACCCCCUUGGUUAAAUCCCAAGGCUUCCUCG
This 73-nucleotide transfer RNA is filed under the name Centrobranchus choerocephalus. Its description in RNAcentral is "tRNA-Ser (AGY)". The record is from RNAcentral. Lineage: Eukaryota; Metazoa; Chordata; Actinopteri; Myctophiformes; Myctophidae.